RNAcentral lists this ribosomal RNA (484 nucleotides) under uncultured bacterium. Its description in RNAcentral is "partial 16S ribosomal RNA". It matches the Rfam family "Bacterial small subunit ribosomal RNA", at positions 30 to 507 of the family's 1533-position model. The record is from RNAcentral.
AUUGAACGCUGGCGGCAUGCCUUACACAUGCAAGUCGAACGGUAACAGGUCUUUCGGGAUGCUGACGAGUGGCGAACGGGUGAGUAAUACAUCGGAACGUGCCUAGUAGUGGGGGAUAACUACUCGAAAGAGUGGCUAAUACCGCAUGAGAUCUAUGGAUGAACGCAGGGGACCUUUGGGCCUUGUGCUACUAGAGCGGACGAUGGCAGAUUAGGUAGUUGGUGGGAUAAAAGCUUACCAAGCCUACGAUCUGUAGCUGGUCUGAGAGGACGAUCAGCCACACUGGGACUGAGACACGGCCCAGACUCCUACGGGAGGCAGCAGUGGGGAAUUUUGGACAAUGGGCGCAAGCCUGAUCCAGCAAUGCCGCGUGCAGGAUGAAGGCCUUCGGGUUGUAAACUGCUUUUGUACGGAACGAAAAGUCUUGGGUUAAUACCCUGGGAUCAUGACGGUACCGUAAGAAUAAGCACCGGCUAACUACGUG